RNAcentral lists this long non-coding RNA (427 nucleotides) under Homo sapiens (human). Its description in RNAcentral is "HSALNT0061264". The record is from RNAcentral. Lineage: Eukaryota; Metazoa; Chordata; Mammalia; Primates; Hominidae.
CAUUUGGCCAUCCAUUAUUGAUAGUACCUUUGUUUUUUCUCACUGAUCUUCAAUGUAGCAGAUUCAUCAAUAUAAAAGAGCUGAAAAAGGCCAGGCAUGGUGGCUCAUGCUUGUAAUCCCAGUGCUUUGGAAGUCAAGGUGGGAAGAUUGACAGAGCAGGAUUAUUGCCAUCUUGGACAAGUAUUAUUUUAAAAUUCACCUUAAUCAAAAACCACCUAAAUCCAAAGGGCAUCAGCCUAAUGGCUAAGGUCAGCAUGACCAUAAACCACAAAUAACAUCUCCAACCAGAAACAUUCCAAAUUCCUCCCCAAGCAGAGACAUGCUUCCCCCAAGAUAACCCCCCUUCAGCCGGGAAGAUGCCAGCCCCGAGACAACCCACCUCCUGCCAGAAAGAUAUCAGCCCCAAGAUAACCUCCCCUCCAUCCAG